RNAcentral lists this long non-coding RNA (3309 nucleotides) under Amborella trichopoda. Its description in RNAcentral is "long non-coding RNA (ATRI_LNC003620)". Lineage: Eukaryota; Viridiplantae; Streptophyta; Magnoliopsida; Amborellales; Amborellaceae. The record is from RNAcentral.
AAAAAGCUAUUUCUAGUCUCACUAGGAGAAGCGGGCAUAGGCCGGAGAUAAGCCCAAGCCGCUUCUUUGACGAGCCUAUUCUUUAGAGAGAUCUCGCCCCACCCACUGUUUCACACCCCGUUGGUGACUGGAUCGCAUUUGGUGAGCUCGGUAGAAGAUCGCGAAGGCUUGCGUAUGAUAGCGGCUUGAGGGUUGUGCACGAUAAGUCAUCAAGGGUUGUGUAUGGUGAGAUUUUGAGGUUUGCAAGUUCUUUGGCUUCACAGGUGGCCAUGGAAACGCUCGAGCUUUGAGGUAGCCGGAGCUCGAUGGACACAGUGGCCGGAACCAUGUUUCUCUGGCGAAGUGACGGGGGAUCCAUUUUCACGGCCACCAUUUUGGCCGGAAUCUUGACCGGAAUGUGUAGGGAAUAUUGAUGGCAGGAAAAUCGGCCAGAGAUUGCAAGAAGAAAGAGAAAAUGCAGAUAACACUAAUUGUGGUUUUAUUGCUUUAACUUUAGAUGGAAAUUGCAAGGAGAACCCACAAAUUUUCGGUUUAGGGUUUCACAGACUGAAUUCAGCUUCAAUUUAUAAGAAUAACGGAAAAAAUGACUGUAAUGGCCGAAAUUUUGAUCGGGAUUUGCAAAGAGUAAGGGGAAAUCCAAGGGUCAGGGGUUUUUAGCCUGGAGAGAGGUUUUUGAUGAAGAUUGCGGCCAAAACACAAAGUUUCCGGUGGAGGUUCCAAGCCCAGUAGUAGAUAUCUAGUGAAGACCCAGCCAAUAUUUUGGAAACGAUUUCCGUGAAAUCAGAGUCUUUCGUCGGAAUUUGAUCGUCUUUUAGGGCUCAAAGUUUGUUUGGUCCGCUUGUUUGCCGUGAAAAGUUUUUGGGGUGUCAUUAUAGUUUUUAUUUGGGUAAAAAAUUUACGGUUCCAUAGAUCCAACAAGUUUGUAAGAUGGAAAAGAUGGAGACCCUUUACCUACAAUUAAUAUUUUCAAUUUUUGGUUAUCAAACAUUACAUAAAUAAAAAAUAAGAGAUAAAAAAAUAUUUUUCAAAAAAAUAAAAAAUAAAGACAUCCUACCAUACGCCCCAAGUGCAAAUGGUAUUUGCCAUCGACGCAAUUGAGUUCUUUUCACAGGGUACGAGGAAGAAUGCUAGGUUGGACCUUGUACACAACUGCGGUUCACACUGGGGACAAAACUAUGAGAUGAGAUGCGAUGCGAUGCGAUGCGAAGCGAUGCGAUGCGAUGCGAUGGAUUCUCAAGAGGUACAUUGGAGAAACUGAAGUCUUUCUUUUCUUUUAUUUUCCCCGAGACAUAUAGGGAUCACCCGCAUUUAGCCAGUGUUUUAAAAACCGCCCACUUCCUACUUGAAUUGUCCAUCUGGAUUGGAAUCGUUCAUGAUUGAAUCAGUUUUGGCCUUUUGGGUGAUAUAAGGCCCCGCCCUGCCCUGUUGCCCCCUAAAAACAAUUUGUAUAUUUUAAGUUCAUUUAAUAUUUUUGUAGUUCCCGUCUAUAAACCCUUAUUUUAAUUUUUUUUUGUCUCAUUUAUUUAGCAACAUAUUUCUAGAUCACGAAUUUGUUCUGAUCCAGUAAUCCGAUACAAAUUUGUGUGUAAAUUAUUUACGAUUUGAUAUAGAUUUGUAUGUAAAUUAUCUGCCAUACCAAUCCAGGUUUUGAAGUAUUGUAUUUCUUAGAUGGGUGCAGCUGGCAUACGGAUGCUUUCGUGCCUGUAGAGGUAAGGUGCACCUUUAAAUUUUAUAAUGGUAUCUAAUUUUGAUGUAAAAUGUUAUUAGGACUAUCUCAAAAUCUAUUUUUAUAUCUAAUUAUAAAAUUUUAAAUUUCAAAUAUUGUUAAAAUCAAGUAGAUCUAAAAAUAUAUGAAAAUCUUGAAAAUAGACGGUGUAGAUAAUAUGUUGUAAAAUGCACUAUUUAUGAGACUUAAAACUUUUUAUUUUUCAUGGUCAUACAUCUCGAUGUCGAGAUGAUCAAUCAAAGGGUGGUUUUUUAACAUUAAAACUACCUUUUCUGAUGGAUUUUUGAUCCGUAGUUGUACAUUAUAAGGGUGCAUCCUUGUAUAAAUUUUCUCCUUUUUAGAUUGGACGAAGCACUUGAUGGGUUUGGUUUUUUUUUUUUUUGGAAAUUUAUCAAAAGCAACGAAGAGAUGAACCAUUAUUUUUUCCUUAAUUUCAAAAAUCUUAGCGCAUGAUAUUAAUCAUGGAUUACAAUAGCUUAUAUUUUAGAUAUGUUUUGACAAAUACGUAAAAGGUUAAAUAUUUGGGAUUUUACCCAUUUUUUAUUAAUUUUUUCUUUUCUUUCACUUGCCUAUAAAUACACAACCCAUUUUUUGCUCUUCAAAUAAUGCUUGUUUAGAAAACGCAACAAAAUAAUGCUUAGUUGGUCAUAGUCAGAGGAAGAAUAAUACGUGUAGAAGAAAAAAAAUUGCUGCUUAAUUGCAUAAGUAAUUGUUUUUAAUGCAUUAAGCAACCAUUAUAUAAAUGUUUAAUGCUUUUGAUCUCUGGUUUUUUAAAUUGAUGGUUAACUAAUUACAGGAUACCAAUUUACAAAUUUUAAACAUGACAAAUUUUGUAUAGAAUAUUUACAUUUCAAAUAUUUCAUUUUCUCUUUUUCAUUUUCUUACUCGUACAGCCGGCUCUUCUGGGUGCUUGAACAGUUCCCAACUCUUAUGGUGCGGAUACUGUUAUUGUCAUUGAACGAACCAACUAAAUGGUUCCAACACGUUACAUAAGGAAGACCAAAAUUUCGUCUUCUUCAGUUGUGCCAAGAUUUUCUUAUAUGAUUGCAGUUGUGUAGGGCUGAUUAUGGGUGAGGCGGCCUGGCUCAGCCCGAUCAAACCGCCCCUGAAAGAGUAGGGCCUAGGCCACAAACUUUGGGCCGACGGUCGAGCAAGGGACAAUGUUAGCAUGGCCUUGCUCGGCCCGCGCGACUUUUUUUUUUUCCCCCCUUUAAUUUUCGUUUUUUUUCCUGACCCAGAACUAACAAGGCCAAGGCCAGGGUUGUGCCAACUCUAUGGGUACCUUGAGAACCUAGAAAUGGAAAUUAGACAAGGUCCAUUUCCAUUUUGUUAUACACUUAUACCCAUUUUUUUAAAGUGAAAGUAUACAAUGAGAUCAUUUAUUUCCAGUACAAUGUCGCAAUCAAUCCUUGUUGUUGGAUGUAAAACAAGUGGCCAAGGAUGUGCCAUUGAUCGGAUUCAAAAUCCAAAACAAAUUUAACAUAUCUAGAGCUCUGCAAGACUUCACAUCUGCAGGCUAUUGGUGGCUGUGACCUCCUUGCACCAUUGAAAAAGGGUAUUAUGGCAUAUAAACCCACUUAUAA